RNAcentral lists this ribosomal RNA (254 nucleotides) under uncultured bacterium. RNAcentral's name for it is "partial 16S ribosomal RNA". It matches the Rfam family "Bacterial small subunit ribosomal RNA", at positions 524 to 776 of the family's 1533-position model. The record is from RNAcentral.
AACGUAGGUGGCGAGCGUUAUCCGGAUUUACUGGGCGUAAAGCGUGCGCAGGCGGUCUGUUAAGACCGAUGUGAAAUCCCCGGGCUUAACCUGGGAACUGCAUUGGUGACUGGCAGGCUUUGAGUGUGGCAGAGGGAGGUAGAAUUCCACGUGUAGCAGUGAAAUGCGUAGAGAUGUGGAGGAAUACCGAUGGCGAAGGCAGCCUCCUGGGCCAACACUGACGCUCAUGCACGAAAGCGUGGGGAGCAAACAGG